This is a long non-coding RNA of Meriones unguiculatus (Mongolian gerbil), 1113 nucleotides long. RefSeq lists it as uncharacterized. The record is from RefSeq and is a predicted model, not a curated record. Lineage: Eukaryota; Metazoa; Chordata; Mammalia; Rodentia; Muridae. The transcript has 3 exons.
CUUGCUUCUCCCCCAGCUCGCAUUUCCCCUCUCCCUGCUACGCUCUCCCGAUCCUCCUUAGGUCUUCGGAGACUUCAGCUGUGGGGAAACACUGACCCAUGAGAGGGCACACUGGAGCUGGAAAUAUGGCGCCUGCAGCUGUCGUUUGCAGCCUUGCUGUCAAGGGUGAAAGGGGAGCAGGCAAGAUGGCUCAGAAGCCUCUGGAAGUACCACGUGGCCACAUCACGUUGUGAACUCCCCUCCCCGCCCCCAACUGUACAUCUGUGAAGGCGUUGUAGGAGACGGCCUCUUCUCCCGUUCUUCUCUGGACUCUAGCUACGGGGGCGACAAAGAGCCCCUCAGCCCUGCCACUGUGGCUGCGGAGGAAUCCCGGCUCUGCCCGGCUGUUGAGAUCAGGCUAUGCCAUCCUCCAAGUUACUCCAUAUUGAAUCGAACAGACUUGUUGUUUUUCCAGAUGUGCCUUCCCCCAGGAGACUCCACUUUCUAAGCAGCUUUUGACUCUGUUUUGAGGGAGAAGGAAAAAAAUGCAACCCUGGUGGGCCCAGGAGCCGUCCGUCUGUCCUUCCAGCAGAGACUGUGAGUAGGAAGAGCCUGGGAGUAGGAAGUGAGCAUUCCCGCAGGUUUAUUAGGAAGAAUUGAAACCAUGCAUAUUAAAGUCAGGGAAAGGGGCAGCUCCUUUGCCUGGGCCUUGUAAUGUGACAGACACCAAACGCUGGUCAGCAUGGUCCCAUACCAACCUCCUCAUCUGAUACCUGGUGUGUGUAUGUCAAGGACCAAACGUUCCUUGACUUGGGUAGGUUCCCCUCCAAGCUGAUGCAGCCUACUUAACUGCCUGCCUCUGCCUUUUCUCCCAUCUGGGUCUAAACGGGACCCAUUCAUCCCCAGACCUGGUCUUUUUACCUCACGGCAGAACUCCAAAGCUUUGCUCUCAAGGCUGACUCCAGUUUCUGCCAGCAGCUCUCUCCUGGCUGGUCUGGCUUAUUCCCUUACCAACACAGACCCUCUGCCCACUUCCAGCCAUCCCGAACCCCACCUCAGGCUCUUUAGCUUGUAUUUAUUCGAUAACCCAUGCGUCUAUGUCUAUACAAAGAAAAAUAUAUUGACUCUGUGCUA